GAAAGGAUAUCCAAUUACAAAAAAGUAAAUUGCUUCAUCAUAUGCAAAAUCAGUCCAUUAAUAAAUUUAAACAAACUAUACAAAAACAAGUAAACAACAUUCUGCAUAUUCUCAUGACUAUAAUCAAAGAGUUCAGCAUUUCCCUUUCAUAGUCAAAAUUUUCCAAGAAAAUCACAAUAGAAAGAACAUUUGUAUUGUAGGUGUUUCUUAAGCCUAGCAGAAAAAUUGUGAGCAUAUGGACUUCCUGAUAAAAAUCAAUUACUUAAUAUGAUAUUUCCACAGUCAAAGCCAUGUUUACAUCAAAUUGGCCAAUCAACAUAGAAUUAUAAUCUACAAAAUCUAACAAGAAAAAAUAUGAACCAGCUUGCCAUUAAAUUGAGAAUUAAAAAUGAGACACACUACCUUUAGUGAUGAUGACACUUCAAGGAACUAUGUAAAAGCAAAAGCAUCAGGCAAAUUGAACAUGCAUGCAAAAGAUUCAUACAGAUUCAAACUUGAUUUUAUAGAGGAGCAAGAGUUAAUCUCUCUCUCUCACUCUCUCUCU
RNAcentral lists this unclassified non-coding RNA (544 nucleotides) under Hevea brasiliensis (rubber tree). The record is from RNAcentral. Lineage: Eukaryota; Viridiplantae; Streptophyta; Magnoliopsida; Malpighiales; Euphorbiaceae.